RNAcentral lists this ribosomal RNA (484 nucleotides) under uncultured bacterium. Its description in RNAcentral is "partial 16S ribosomal RNA". It matches the Rfam family "Bacterial small subunit ribosomal RNA", at positions 28 to 523 of the family's 1533-position model. The record is from RNAcentral.
GACGAACGCUGGCGGCGUGCUUAACACAUGCAAGUCGAACGAUGAAGCCGGAGCUUGCUCUGGUGAAUUAGUGGCGAACGGGUGAGUAACACGUGAGUAACCUGCCCUUGACUCUGGGAUAACUGCGGGAAACUGUAGCUAAUACCGGAUACGACCCUCGGAGGCAUCUCCUGGGGGUGGAAAGAAUUUCGGUCAAGGAUGGACUCGCGGCCUAUCAGCUAGUUGGUGGGGUAAAGGCUCACCAAGGCGACGACGGGUAGCCGGCCGGAGAGGGUGACCGGCCACACUGGGACUGAGACACGGCCCAGACUCCUACGGGAGGCAGCAGUGGGGAAUAUUGCACAAUGGGCGCAAGCCUGAUGCAGCAACGCCGCGGGAGGGAUGACGGCCUUCGGGUUGUAAACCUCUUUUAGCAGGGAAGAAGCGAAAGUGACGGUACCUGCAGAAAAAGCACCGGCUAACUACGUGCCAGCAGCCGCCGUAA